AACCUUGAAAAUCCGUACACUCUAAACACUGGUCUGAGUGGUUACAAAAGGAGGAAAAGUAAAAUGGAAACUGACUUCGGUGCUUUUGUAGCUAGUUUCAAACAAAA
RNAcentral lists this small nucleolar RNA (107 nucleotides) under Echinops telfairi (small Madagascar hedgehog). Its description in RNAcentral is "Small nucleolar RNA SNORA61 (ENSETEG00000024839.1)". The record is from RNAcentral. Lineage: Eukaryota; Metazoa; Chordata; Mammalia; Afrosoricida; Tenrecidae.